AAAGUUUCUUUGUUGGCGAAGAGUCAGUUCUGAAGCUAAUAAGGAAAAUUAAAACAGGUGAUGCAGUGGCUAUCUUCAAAGGGGAGAGUUUUGAGUGCAAAGUAUAAUGGAAGACAAAGAAGAAACUGGGUUAUAUGUCUCUGAAUAAAUGGUCUUCCAUCAGAAAAAGAUUAAUUUAAAAUCACUGUUCUAGUUCUUAUAUUAAAGAUGGUUUAAUUCACCCAGAGCUAUUUGGCCUAGAGAAUGAAUUCCUACAAUUAAGUGUUUAUGAUUGAAAGUGCUGCCAUGGAAAGCAGACAGAUGAAUAUCAUUUCAGGAGUACUGCGAAUCAUUAAAUGAGUUGUAGAACCUUUUCCUGGGCAUGAGCCACUUCUAAAUUUCAGGCUAAGGCUAUAAUAGACUUCAGUAUAAGGCCUGAUGGGCUGCUGUAUUUAAGAGCUUGAAUAACAGGAUAAUCAGUGUGUACUGAUGUGCUUAUAUAAUUUUCAACUUCUUACAGUUAAUUGAAAAUAUGCUGCCCAUGGUAUAGGUAUGUGCUGCUUGGAUCGAAUACUCUUUUCAGAUGAGUGCAUUGUGAGUUUGAGGUAAUAAACUUAACCUGCCUCUGACGUGUUGGCUUCUUUUGGCUCAAUACAGGCAUGGCUGCUUUCCCCACUUCAGUGUAAAGACAGGCUGGACGUGGAAUGUCACACAAACCUGGACAGUUGACAAGAAAACAGUGCUAGCUGCCAGCUACCUUCUCUAUUUGUCAUGAUUAGUGCUUGUUUUAUGUCAGGAAGGCUCAAGGCAUCAUCCUGUAACUGAUUGGCAUGUUGGGAAGUUGUAAACUGAAAUACAGGCCAGACAGACAGACUGGCAUUUUUUGGGCUCAGCAGAGGAAGCAAACACAAAGCUUCCUGGUUAGGGAAAGAGCAUUGGUCCACAGCUUGCCUUUUCUUGGCACAGCCUGUCCAUUCCCAGGAUUGCUUACCCGUCCUGUAAGCAGUUUUGCCAGAUGUUUGCCAGUGAUGUUACCAGUAGAGGCAGGCACGGCAGGAGGGAGCAUGAGCUUUCCAGUGGAACACCUGACAGCAGGGAUCUGCUGCAGGGUAGUGAAUGGGAACAUACAGAGAGGCCAUGUAGCAGGGCCUCUGUCAGGCCAAUAAAAAGAUAAGGCUUGGGUUCAUCAAAGGGGAGUGUCAACUGGGGCAUCUCUGAACUGGACUGGACAAUCUUGAUGACUCGGGUUGCUUACAGAACAGUUGUUAUGGUGUGAGUUGCUAGUUUUGAAUGUAUCACUAAGUCUGUAACACACUGAUUCAGAGUUAGUAGUAUGAACAGGCAAACAGUCUGAGCUCAGGCUGUCUGUAAAAACAAUGGUCACAACUACCUGAUUUCAGGAAGCAUGCUUGUAUUUCUAAAUAAAAAUAAGUCCCUGAUGCCAAGAGGCUUGGCUUAUAUCCACGCUAGCUAGGGCUAGUUUGCUCUAGAGCAUACUCAUAUCCCACAGUACUCCUUGGACACUUUCUGGACCCUACAGACUCAACAUAUAAUUCAGAUUUUUUUGUUUUAUCUUUCAGUUUGAAGCAUCUGAAAUGAUGUUAAACUGUACUGCAGGCAGUGAGACUGGUGCUUUCCUAGGAUGAAGUGAGGUAAAGAUUACUAGUAAUGUGCUUAUGAACAAGAAGUUGUCCCAGUUAUCGGUCUUUGGGAGGAUUAGGAUUCCUGCGUCUUCUGUGAUACCUAGAAGAAAAAAAGGCUGCAGUGAAUGAAAGCUUUGGACAGUCUUGGAUUUCCCUUAUGCUUUCACCCCCAGCAAGUGAUCUCAGUUUCAUCACUACUUACUCUGCAGCGGGGCCUGCUUACAAGCUGCUACUGAACGCAUCCAGAAGAGGCUGGGGCACACAGUUCUAAGUAAUGUUGCCAUCCUGGCAGCAGAGAAGAAACCAGUCCUGAACAAGAUGGAACUCAAAUGGACCAUAAGCUUUUUUCCUGCAGAAUACCCUCUGAAAAAAAAACAAACAGUUUCAAAGCUGUUCAGGGUAGAAAAGCCAAACAUUUUAAUUUCUUGAAUAUCAUAAAGGUAAAUAAAAUGUGUGCAGUAGAUUCUUCAUUAUUUAUCAGUGGUUUAGAAGUCCUUUACUUAAGAUACUCACACCUGCCUCCUUAACAGUCAAUGUGGAACAAGACUUUAUUUGCUGAGAGGUACUCUUUGAAGGUACAUCAUCACUGUUAUAAAAAAGGUUUCCAAGCUUUGGUCUCCUCGGUUUUUAUACUAACACUUAAGUUUUGCAUCCUUCCCUCUGCGUAUUCCACAGAAUUAUUCCCAAACCAUGUUUGAGAUGUAAAUACCAUCACCCAGUAUAAAAAUAGAAGUACUUAUCCUCAACACUUGCUGUAGUUACAAACUGGCUAAAUGAUGCUGCCUUCAUCCAUCUCAAAAGCUAUACACUUAAAAGCUACAAAAUACCAUCUAGAAUACCUUAAAUGUUACCCAGAAGGAGAAAGACACAUAAACAUCUUAAGUUUUCAUUUGCUACGGGGG
Pezoporus occidentalis (night parrot) is the source of this 2524-nucleotide long non-coding RNA. RefSeq lists it as uncharacterized. The transcript is spliced from 5 exons. The record is from RefSeq and is a predicted model, not a curated record. NCBI's taxonomy places the organism in Eukaryota, Metazoa, Chordata, Aves, Psittaciformes, Psittacidae.